UACGUAGGGCGCAAGCGUUGUCCGGAAUUAUUGGGCGUAAAGAGCGCGCAGGCGGUCGUUUAAGUCGAAUGUGAAAGCCCCCGGCUUAACUGGGGAGGGUCAUUCGAUACUGAUCGACUUGAAGGCAGGAGAGGGAAGCAGAAUUCCCGGUGUAGUGGUGAAAUGCGUAGAUAUCGGGAGGAAUACCAGUGGCGAAGGCGGCAUCCUGGACCGGCAUUGACGCUGAUGAGCGAAAGCUAGGGGAGCAAACGGG
This 253-nucleotide ribosomal RNA is filed under the name uncultured bacterium. RNAcentral's name for it is "partial 16S ribosomal RNA". It matches the Rfam family "Bacterial small subunit ribosomal RNA", at positions 524 to 776 of the family's 1533-position model. The record is from RNAcentral.